Molecule: long non-coding RNA, 4201 nt
Organism: Triplophysa dalaica
Lineage: Eukaryota; Metazoa; Chordata; Actinopteri; Cypriniformes; Nemacheilidae
Exons: 2
Source: RefSeq, a predicted model, not a curated record
CACAAGAAGAUAUUUUGAAGAAUGUUCACGUUGGUAACCGAACUACAGCGGUAACCAUUGAUUUACUUCUAAAUAACACACAAGAAGAUAUUUUGAAGAAUGUUCACGUUGGUAACCGAACUACAGCGGUACCGAUUGAUUUAGUUCCGCAGAACACACAAGAAGAUAUUUUGAAGUAUGUUCACCUUUUUAACCGAACUACAGCGGCACCCAUUGACUUUCUUCUGCAAAACACACAAGAAGAUAUUUUGAAGUAUGUUCACCCUUUUUAACCGAACUACAGCGGCACCCAUUGACUUUCUUCUGCAGAACACACAAGAAGAUAUUUUGAAGAAUGUUCACGUUGGGAACCGAACUACAGUGGUAACCAUUGACUUCCAUUAGUUUUGUGAAUUUAGAAUGGGUUCUAGCACUGUUCAGUUACCAACAUUCUUCUAAAUAUCUUCUUUUUUGUCUGUGGAAGAAAGGAAGUCAAACAGGUUUAAAAAGACAAAAGGGCGUGUAGUUAAUGACAGAAUAUUACUUUUUGGGUGAACUCUCCCUCUAACACAAGUGAAUGAUGUACAUUUAUCAUUGAAAACUUUAACCAAGUUAGAAUUUCUUUCUCAUUUGUAUUCUAUUAUGUCAAAAACAAUAACAGACAAACAACAUUUUGAACCUGUGGCAGGAUCACAGGUAAGUCUUUGACCGGUAAGGUCUGGUAAAAGAGACAUGUUUACCACCGACUCUCCUUUGCCAGUAACCAGUCGAACCAGUUUAGCAAACCAGUAAUUAGUUUGCUUCCUAAAACAUGUGUAGAACAAUAAAAUUAGUUUGAGAAAGUGCUGGAGAACAUUGUUACGUGUGUGAAUCAUGCAGCGACCUGAUUUCUCUGCGAUUGAUAUGAACGUAAAUAGUUUUGAUGCCAAACACACGUGUACAGUACAUUACGUGCAGCAGUUUCACGUGAUGUGCCAGGAACACAAUGUGUUUGUGACGAGCGUAUAAUAAAGCUGUUGUGUGUUCUAAACACCACGAGCGAAGUUCCAAGAGGUCAAUCUGCUAGAGAGAGUGAUAAAUAAAGACAGAGCAACUUUUGCUCCAUAUUCUGUCAAUGACUAACUAAACAACCCCUCCCAGUACACAAAGUACUCGCUCUCGCUCUCGUUCACAGCUCUCCGGGCCAUAUGGUAAAACUCUGCAAACAUCUGUAAUCAAGCCCAGCGAUGUCAGUGAUCCAUGGCCACACGCUUGUAAAAGAAGCAAAAAAGAGAGAAAGCAGGAGAGCUGUGACGGGCAGAGCAAAUAAAAGAGAUGUUAGAACUCUGGCCCUAAUCCAACAGCACCAGUAAAUGUUUAAAGAAAAUAAAAAAUAAUAAUUCUGUCAUUUAUUCACACUCAUUUCAUUCAAAACCUGUGUGUGAGUCUUUCUUCUGCUGAACACAAAAGAAGAUAUUUUGAGAAAUGUCUCAGUGGUUUUGUGUCCAUACAAUGAAAAAGUCAACUUUCUUGGAAAUAUCUUCUUUCCAGAAUUGCUGACCCCAUCGGGCUCGCGCUGGGCCGAGAAAACACGACGCUCCACGGAGGGCGCUUGUUUAUCGUUCAUCUGCUUAAAACACGAACACGCAAAGUUCAUAUUCAUACACUUAGUUUGUAAACGUUUGCCAAGACAAGCAGCGAGUCUAGAAGGGAGCGAUUAUGGGAUGGCACCAUUGACUGACUCUGUGCGAAGUUUGUCCUGAGCUUUUCUGGGCAGAGGUAAACAUUGUUUGUGUACAUAAACGGAAUGAAAAUAUUCACAUUUUAAAGUACUAGCUCGCCCCCCCCCCCCCACACACACACAAACAUAACAUACUCACUCCAAACCUGUAGCAAAACACAAAAGAAGAUAUUUUGAAGAACGUUACAACAUGGCCCCCAUUGACUUCCAUUGUACGAACACUACACCCACUGAGACAUUUCUCAAAAUAUCUUCUUUUGUGUAACAUCUCAAAGCCUUUUAUUGAUUCUCAAAUGUAUAUAUAGUGUGUAUGUGGGUUGAGUCGACGACAUGAUCCUCCAGUCAACACACAUACUGCAGCGUCUGAUGGGGCUCCAGUUACCGACAGCGGUCAAGUGACCCGCUUUUUUCCAUCUCCCGUCAUCAACACAACCACGUGCGUUUGGGACAACAAAACAACGUGUCUCAGAGUGAUGGGGAGCGUGAGGGAGGGCGCUGUGGCCUGAAGAAACUUACUGUAUUACUCCUUCCUAGUGAACAUAUGGAGCUCGGUCUGUAAAUAAAACAGCACACCAAUGCUUGAAACGCCACUGAAGGCAGGAGAACAUGAAAUCAGAUUGGGUUUAAGAUUGUGUUUCUGUGUUGUGGGUCACUGUAUCAUUUAUUGUAGGUGUUUGCAAAGACGGGAAUCAUUUGAACAUUAGGAGUUUAGGAUUAUUUUGACGGAAGACACAGACGAGCACCACUUGACAUUUUCUGUUGAAAUUUUGUUCAUUAUAGAAUAUGCUAAUUUUCUUAACCUGUUUUUAAUGUUUCUUAAAGAGACCCAAACAUUGUCCUCGUGUCAUUUCAAACCUGUAUGACUUUCUCUCUUCUGCAGAACACAAAAGAAGAUAUUUUUGAAGAAUGUUGCUAACCAAACGACAUUGAUCCCCAUUGACUUCCAUUGUAUGAACACAAAACCACAUUUUUCUAAAUACAUUCUUCUGUGUUCCACUAAAGAAAGAUUCACGCGCAUGUUUUAAACAACACGAGCGUGAAUAAAUGAAGACAGAAUAUUUAUUUUUGGGUGAACUGCCUCUUUAAAUGUCACAUUAUAUCAGGAACCCCUUCAAAAUGUUCUGACUGACAUUUUUCUUUUAGUCUUUCUUGAACUAUGUUAACCGACCUAUAUGUAACAUUAAUGAGAUACUUUACCCAAAAUUUUCAAUUCUGUCAUCUUUACUCACCUUAAAGUUGUAACAAUUGUGUAUAAAUGUCUUUGUUCUGCUGAACAUGGAGAGAGAUAUUUGGAAGAAUGCUUGUAGCCAAACAGAUCUCGACACCCAUUGAAAAAAAACAGUCAAUAGUGCACCAGAACUGUUUGUUGUCCCACAUUCUUCAAAAUAUCUUCUUUUGUGUUCAACAGAACCACAAUGAUAAAGUAAUUUUCCGAAUGGGGUCCAGAUCUGUUUUGUUAUAAACAUUCGAUCUCUGUGUUCAUCAGAUCAAAAACAUUUAUACACAUUUGGAACGACUGGAAGGUGAGGAAACGAUGACAGAAUUUUAAUUCUGUUGACAAGACGUCUUUCUGUUUUGAAUGUUGAACGUUCAUGUUUUUCAACCCCUCUCACUACAAAAUCAGUGUUGUGGAUUUUGGAUUGUUAGUUUGCAAUCACGUCCUCCCGCUUGUUGCAGUUGCAUUUCAUGGCCGCCAUCCAGACAAUAAUUACAACUUGACUUCGGGUCCGAGGCGAUAUGUUGUUCCAGUAAAAACCCAGAGCAGCACAAACAGGCUGAAGAAGUUCUCUGUUCGAUGACAGGACAGGAGGGGUUGGAUGUUUUCUAGAAGAAGUAGAACACAAUGUGCUUUAGCUCUCCGGUUACAACCCUGUUUAUCAAACUCUGCGCUCCCAUUGGUCGAGGCCACCCGGAAGCGACCCGGCCCACUCCUCAUGAACCAAUCAGCGGCCGGAGAAAGUUUUAGUGUAUGUGUGAAGGAAAUGAGGGGGGUUUGGGGUACCUACAGUGAAUAGGCGUGUGAGAAGCGCGCGCAUAUGUGUGUGUGUUUGGACAAGCUCAAUGGAUUCAGUUCCUGGAAGCGCCCCCAACUUGCUCCAAAUUCCUGCGAAUGCUCACAAUAACAAAUUCCUGAAAGCGGCUGACCAAUGACAGAGACUGAACCCCCUGUCUCGCUGCGGUGGAGGAAGUCCGAAACAGACAAGAGGGGUGUAGAGACGGGGGAUGUUUAUGUCAACCUGGCCGUACCGCAGAAUGCUACUGCGCCGUCACCCCUCCCGUUCACACACGGGUCUAAACAAGCCUCUGUUCACUCUCUUAACCUCUGUGCUCUGUAGCUGCGCUGAAACAGAGCCAUUUAGAGAGAGAGUUCUGCCAACGGAAGUCCAAAACGCUGGAGCGUCAUGUGAUUCAUGGAGCCUUCAGAUAGUUGCAGAAAGUCAUGUUCUCUUUAAAUGCUGUAUUUCUUUCAUUUUGUAUUCAUAAAAUGUCUUUCAUCUUUAA